Molecule: long non-coding RNA, 1700 nt
Organism: Bubalus bubalis (water buffalo)
Lineage: Eukaryota; Metazoa; Chordata; Mammalia; Artiodactyla; Bovidae
Exons: 2
Source: RefSeq, a predicted model, not a curated record
CGUGAGUAAGCUUAGUCAUCCAAAGCAGAGUUAAUCUAUUUUUUUCCUGAUCCUCUGUUGCCUUUGUGUGUGUGUCUGCUAUAUACAUAUUACAAUUUCCUUGUGCUAUGUCAUUUUUUUUCUUCCAUGACACUGCUUUGGCACAGGUGUUAGUCCCAUAAUACUAGCAGAAUUUUCUACAAGAGGUCAUCACACAAGUGUUAGGAGGAAAGCUCUUGCUAAAUGAUUUUGGAUAAAAACAGUUCCCUUCUCUCAAGCUUGACCUUUCAGAAGCUUGGUGAAUCAAGGGAAAAAUUUAGAAUCAAUUAGCUAGUUAACGUUAGUCGCUCAGUUGUGCCCAACUUUUUGUGACCCCAUGGAUCCUCUGUCUAUGGUAUUCUUCAGGCAAGAAUACUGGAGUGGGUGGCCAUUUCCUUCUCCAGGGGCUCUUCGCUACCUGGAGAUUGAACCCAGUCUCGCCCAUUGUGGGCAGAUCCUUAACCAUCUGAGUCCAGUAACCAAAUCCUGACAUUGGCAUUUAUUCACAAGCUGGGUGACCCUGAGAAAAUAAAGUAACCUCUCGAAGACUCAGUUUACUAACGUGCAAAAUGGGUAGAAUAUGUGCCUGCAAAUAUUUACUAUGUGAAUUAAAGAUGAUGCAAGUAAAUAAAACUAUGCAUUUGAUUGACGUGGUUGUUUGACCACGGUCUUGUCGACUGUCUUGUUGUUGCCAACUGUCUUGCUACAUCUCGUUGUGCUCACUGUUCGGCUGAACCCGUGGCAGACAAAGCAUGAGGUAAAAGGCUGAAAGAAAAUUCGAGGAUCCGUGAGAACUGCAGAUGCGUUUAUUCUCUCUUGUCUGGUGCAGCAGCCAUAGCAGCAGACAUGACAUAACAACACAACAUAACUGCAUACAACAACUAUCCAGGGCUUUUCCAGGUGAAGCUUAUAUAUACUUAGAGAACAAAAGUAGCCCGUGGCCAAGCGAGUAUCUCGGGGACGCGCAUGCGCAGUGCUAUACGUGAGCUCAGCUUCAUGAUCUCAGUUACAUAACCGUUCAAAGUCAUUGUUUACAGAACAAGGGGAGAGAGGGCCUGAGAGUGUGGGGCGAGAGAGUAUGACUGGCACCAUCACGUUAACUUCCCCACAACCACUGUUUCAUUCUGCAAUUUCUGGCUCCUGUCCUGAAGACUGUGACUCUCCAGAGUGAAGGACAUCAUAUCUGCAAGUACUUUGGUCCUGAGCCCUGGGGAGAUGUGUGGAAUUUACUUCUAUGUCUGAUCUCCAGAAACCAUCAAGAGAAGAGGUGAAAGUAAGACAGAACAUGGAAACAUAAACUACAAAACAGGAAGGAGCCGAGGCGCUUCAAGCUAAGAAAGAGAAAAUGGGGAGAGCGCUGCGUCACAGUGAUGUAUGGUCUUCGAUGGUUCUCCGGCCAAGAGAUCAUACAACACUGCCCAGAGUGACAUGCACAGCCAACACCCAGGGUUGAAGACCCUGGUCUCUCAACAGUCUUUGACAUAACAUACUGAGCUUUAAAAUUUUCCUCCUACUUCAUUUCCACCCUUGUCCUGUGUUUCUAACUUCCCAUCUAUUCAGCUCUUCGGAUGCGGUUAUCUGGAUGAACUCUCCUCCUUCUCCACUCUUGUUUCUGAUCUACUGCAUAAUUCCUCCCUUCAGAAAUGGCAUGUGCUUUUAAUAACAGACCCAAUGGUUCACAA